GCCAGGUAUGCUCCACCGCACAGUUACCUGUCAAUAGCAAGAUAGUCUAGCCCACUAUAAAAUGAGCUGCUUGGCCUCUCCUCACUCUCUUUAAGCUGUCACAUUUCCUACUCUCCCCUCUAGACCUUCUUCUCUCUGUCCCUCCCUCUCUCACCCCUCUUUCCACGUGGCCACUGCCAGUCUCUCUCCAUCUUUCUACCUUCUCUCUUUCUCCCUGCCUUUCUACAAUGAAGCUCUAAAACCAUAGACUGUCUCUGACCAUCAAGGCCUGCUGUACUUUAACGCUGGGACAGGCUUUCCCCUAACAAGCAGUGUCUAACCUCUCUCUUAAAGGCCUUCCUGUCUUCCAGCCAUGGACCAGGCGAGGAACUCUCUGCUGCAUGGAAACCACCCAGUGCCCCCUCUCUCCCUGCCCUCUUCUACUUUCGGCCCCUGGGGCUCCCAUUCUGUUCUCAGCUCUUCUGUGGGUGUUUGGGAUGCCUGUGACUGAGAACUGUUGCUAGGACUGCCCCUCCUUCUCCCCCCCCCCCCAAGCUGGUGUCCAAUGGCUUCCCACAGCCAGAAACCCACCCUCCCACUUGGAAAGUGUGCAGCAGUCCUCCGGGUCCACCCUCCCUGAGCACUGGAACUCUGGCUGGAUGUGGGUUUUCUCCCAUUCCCACUUUCCCCUACACCCACUGCUCAACAAAAGAGGAGACAGAAUUUGGUGUUUCAAGUUCCCAACAUCUUCGAUUGCCUGCUAUGAUGGACUGUUAAUUGUAGAUGUAUGCUAAAAUAAAUCUUUCUUUCCUUA
Long non-coding RNA from Mus musculus (house mouse), 793 nucleotides. RefSeq annotates it as predicted gene, 41278. The transcript is spliced from 2 exons. The record is from RefSeq and is a predicted model, not a curated record. Lineage: Eukaryota; Metazoa; Chordata; Mammalia; Rodentia; Muridae.